RNAcentral lists this unclassified non-coding RNA (978 nucleotides) under Hevea brasiliensis (rubber tree). Lineage: Eukaryota; Viridiplantae; Streptophyta; Magnoliopsida; Malpighiales; Euphorbiaceae. The record is from RNAcentral.
CGUGAUUGUUUCCUUCUCAAGUAGGACCUCAACAAUCUUGUCCAUGGCCUCGCGGUUGUUCCUAAUGUGAGCCAAUGCAAUUUCGUAGGCUUCGUCGGAUAUUCUCUUGAUGGCUGCAUCGAUGUCCUCAGCAAGUUUUUCGGACAUGGAGUUCCGAGCCAUCAUUCUCAUGAUAACAUCAGCACUCUGAGCUGCAGAGUCCAUGAGAGACCAUGGACCUAUUUCAGACAUCCCAAAUGUUACAACCAUCUGUUUGGCUAACCCAGUGAUCUGUUGCAGGUCACCUGCUGCACCUGUUGUCACCUCUGGCUCACCAAAGAUCACUUCCUCGGCUGCCCUGCCGCCUAGUCCACCGACGAUUCUAGCAAAGAGUUGCUGCUUGGAGAUCAAGGUUGGAUCAUCGGAAGGAAUAAACCAGGUAAGACCACGAGCCUGACCACGUGGAACUAAGGUCACCUUUUGAACAGGGUCAUGUCCAGGAGUCAAAGUACCACAAAUGGCGUGCCCAACUUCAUGAUAUGCCACAAGGCUUUUGCUUUUCCCAUCAGUCAUUACUGUUCCUUCCAUACCAGCCACAAUCCGAUCAAUUGAGUCGUCAAUCUCUUUAGAUGAAAUAGCAGUCUUACCACGCCGUCCAGCCAAUAUGGCAGCCUCAUUCAAGAGGUUUGCAAGAUCAGCCCCACUAAAACCAGGUGUUCUCAUGGCUAUAACAUCGAGAGAAACACCAUUAUCAAACUUCUUGUUAUUAGCAUGAACCUUUAAAAUUUCUGUCCUCCCCUUCACGUCAGGAACAUCAACAGUGACCUGUCUAUCGAAACGUCCAGGCCUCAAUAAAGCAGAGUCAAGAAUGUCUGCCCUGUUAGUGGCAGCAAUUACAAUAAUCCCAGUGUUUCCCUCAAACCCAUCCAUUUCAGUUAGAAGCUGGUUAAGUGUUUGUUCUCGUUCGUCAUUCCCACCACCAAUGCCAGUGCCUCUUUG